This 1304-nucleotide long non-coding RNA is filed under the name Lathyrus oleraceus (garden pea). RNAcentral's name for it is "Pisum sativum (pea) long non-coding RNA (PSAT_LNC008510)". Lineage: Eukaryota; Viridiplantae; Streptophyta; Magnoliopsida; Fabales; Fabaceae. The record is from RNAcentral.
UGCGAUAUCCUGCCACGAUGGUUGCUAUCACAAGAGCAUUCCUCCGGUGGCAGUUUAUUUGUUAAAUUGCUAGCACUUUGAAUCAAGAUUCUCUGUUCAACACGCGCAGGGAAUGAAAAGCAGAAAUCACCAGGUUCCUAUUCUUUUUCUUGGUCUUUAUAGGGAGCUUUUCAUAUAAAACUGUUUCCGGCUACUUUUUCCAAGCAUCAUGUACUGUCUCCUUGGUUUGCUUGAUUGAAAAAAAAACACCAUCACUGCAAAGCAAUUACACAGAAAAUGGUGUUAUCAUCGAGAGUUUUAUUUUCCCUUGUAGAGUUUUUGGAUGUAAAAAUACUUGUCACAUAAGUAGUUGAUAGCGACGUGCAAGAAUUUUGUACAUACACACACAAUACUGUAUAGAAACAUUUUUUUUACUCGACUACACAUGCACAUAGUCACAAUGUUUUUGUAUGAAGGAAUUAAAUUUUGUUUGAGUUAUUUUUUAUUUAAGAAAUUAAACCAGGAAAUUUUGUUUAACAUUGAGUUGAUAUGUUAAACAGUAUCACAAAAAUAUUAGUAACUCAAUAGAGGGAGGGAAAGAAAGUAAGAAACUAAUAUUCCCUUUGCCGAUAAGAACUAUAGGUUUAUAUAUGUUUCCUAGCCUUGGCAUUGUUUAAUAUAACAUCCAAUUCAUUAAUUAGAACAAAAUAGCAGCACCAGCUCUUUCGUUCUCUUAUAAACGGGGACACUGCUAUUAACCACCGAAGCAUGACAGGUUUGGAUUAUUAAUGCUUCACGAUUUCCACUUUUAAAACUCAAAACACAUCAAUUCGUUAGUAUAAGAGUAGCUCAUGUUGUGUAAAACUAAAAUACAGUCUUUGAGAAUUUAUUUGCUUGGGGCAAAAAAUCUUGAUAACUUAACAAUCAUUUCAUGAUUUGAACUAGGUUGCAGAACAACAAAAUAAAUUAUCACCAAAUAGUGAGGAAAAGUUUUUUUUACCUUACAAAAAGGAGGGAGGCAAUAGGCUAUGGAGUUUUCAAAAAGUUACUGCCUAUCAUUAAUGUGAAACAUAAAUGCAAAGAAUAAACAAUGACAAAACUGAAAUUUUCUUUUCAAAGAACACUGCGGAGCAUACAAAAAGGCAACUGGUUCAUGCUUCUAGUUUCAAGGAAACAAAAGAUCUUGGAGAGUACCUUGGAAUCCCUUUAUCGGGCAGAUCGCCUAUGAGAGGAGAUUAUCAAUACAUUAUUGAUCAGGUUAAGGCAAAGUUGGAAGCCUGGAAAAGUGAUCAUCAGUCAUUUGCUGGGAGAGUCACUCUAGCUAA